ACAACUACUCACGUUACUGUAAUUGAGUAGUUUUUUCGGGUACUUGUACUUUUUUGAGUAUAUUUUUAAAGCUGUACUUUUACUUGUACUUAAGUACAAAUUAAGCAAAAUAAUCUACUUCAUUACUUUUAAAAUCAUAGUUCGUUACUGAGUACGCCCACAAUUUGAAUUGAUAUUCAAACCUUUCACGAAACUUCAGUAGCCAAUAAAGAUAUCCGAUCGUAAACGGACCAAUAAAAGCCCUGAUAACUGAACCGAUUCCCGGGAAAAGCCGCCGCUGCAGCAGGUGAAGAGCAGCUGAGUGGACAGUGAGGGAGCACAGCGUGAUUUAUGGACUCAAAGUUUGGAGAAACAAACUACAUGUAUCUACCGUAUAUACACCGAUACACAUCCUCUCAGACAGCGAGUUUGACAGCAUCAGCCUCCUGUCAGUUACAGAGUCUGAAUAUCCGCGCGGGAUUGCAGAGUCCGUCCAGGAUUUGCUCUAAAAAUCUCUGCAGUCUAGCGACAUGAGCUGAAGAGACAACAGACAGUCAUAUGAAGGAAUAGACUGUGCCACUGCUGUGAAAAAAUAUAAGCAAAGUCUCUUCAUA
Long non-coding RNA from Onychostoma macrolepis, 593 nucleotides. RefSeq lists it as uncharacterized. The transcript has 3 exons. The record is from RefSeq and is a predicted model, not a curated record. NCBI's taxonomy places the organism in Eukaryota, Metazoa, Chordata, Actinopteri, Cypriniformes, Cyprinidae.